RNAcentral lists this long non-coding RNA (462 nucleotides) under Haliotis rubra (blacklip abalone). RNAcentral's name for it is "uncharacterized LOC124273950, transcript variant X3". Lineage: Eukaryota; Metazoa; Mollusca; Gastropoda; Lepetellida; Haliotidae. The record is from RNAcentral.
UUGGGUUAUAAAAUCCUCAUCGUAGUCCUCACAACUACCAUUACAUCAUGACAUAGAACACCCCUAGGGCUACCAGGUGUCUUUACAUCCAGCUAUAGAACACCCCUAGGGCAACCAGGUGUCUUUACAUCCAGCUAUAGAACACCCCUAGGGCAACCAGGUGUCUUCUACACCCAGCAUAACAUCCAGCUAUAGAACACCCCUAGGGCAACCAGGUGUCUUCUACACCCAGCAUAACAUCCAGCUAUAGAAAACCCCUAGGGCAACCAGGUGUCUUCUACACCCAGCAUAACAUCCAGCUAUAGAACACCCCUAGGGCAACCAGGUGUCUUCUACACCCAGCAUAACAUCCAGCAAUAGAACACCCCUAGGGCAACCAGGUGUCUUUACAUCCAGCAAUAGAACACCCCUAGGGCAACCAGGUGUGGCAGCUCCUGAUCAAGAAACUUACCAAUUGGUGCA